Molecule: ribosomal RNA, 826 nt
Filed under: Nematoda sp. 113P22G16
Lineage: Eukaryota; Metazoa; Nematoda
Description: SSU rRNA
Rfam family: Eukaryotic small subunit ribosomal RNA
Source: RNAcentral
UUACAACAGCCGUAGUUUAUUGGAUCUUGAUUUCCUACAUGGAUACCUGUGGUAAUUCUAGAGCUAAUACACGCAAACAAGCCUUGCUUUCGGGCGGGGUGCAUUUAUUAGAACAAAACCAAUCGGGUUUCGGCCCGUAAUUUGGUGAAUCUGAAUAACUCAGCCGAUCGCACAGUCUUUGUACUGGCGACGUAUCUUUCAAGUGUCUGCCCUAUCAACUUUCGAUGGUAGUUUAUGUGCCUACCAUGGUUGUAACGGGUAACGGAGAAUAAGGGUUCGACUCCGGAGAGGGAGCCUGAGAAACGGCUACCACAUCCAAGGAAGGCAGCAGGCGCGCAAAUUACCCACUCUCAGCACGAGGAGGUAGUGACGAAAAAUAACGAGACGGUUCUCUCUGAGGUCCGUCAUCGGAAUGGGUACAAUUUAAAUCCUUUAACGAGGAUCUAUUGGAGGGCAAGUCUGGUGCCAGCAGCCGCGGUAAUUCCAGCUCCAAUAGCGUAUAUUAAAGUUGUUGCGGUUAAAAAGCUCGUAGUUGGAUCUGCGGUCUCGGAAGCCGGUGCCCUAUCUAGGUGUCACUGGUUCUCCAGGCCUACCUCUCUGGUUUUCUGUUGGUCCUCUUUACUGAGUGCCAGCAGUGACCAGAACGUUUACUUUGAAAAAAUUAGAGUGCUCAAAGCAGGCGCGUAGCCUGAAUAGUGGUGCAUGGAAUAAUGGAAUAGGACCUCGGUUCUAUUUUGUUGGUUUUUGGAGCAGAGGUAAUGAUUAAGAGGGACAGACGGGGGCAUUCGUAUUGCUGCGUUAGAGGUGAAAUUCUUGGAUCGUAGCA